RNAcentral lists this ribosomal RNA (440 nucleotides) under uncultured bacterium. RNAcentral describes it as "bacterial SSU rRNA". It matches the Rfam family "Bacterial small subunit ribosomal RNA", at positions 338 to 795 of the family's 1533-position model. The record is from RNAcentral.
CCUACGGGUGGCAGCAGUGGGGAAUAUUGCACAAUGGGGGAAACCCUGAUGCAGCAACGCCGCGUGAGCGAAGAAGGCCUUCGGGUCGUAAAGCUCUGUCCUAAGGGAAGAAGCAUGACGGUACCUUAGGAGGAAGCCCCGGCUAACUACGUGCCAGCAGCCGCGGUAAUACGUAUGGGGCGAGCGUUAUCCGGAAUCACUGGGCGUAAAGGGUGCGUAGGCGGCCGAUUAAGCGAGGGGUGAAAGGCUACGGCUCCACCGUAGUAAGUCAAUGGAACUGAUUGGAUUGAGCGCAGGAGAGGAGAGUAGAAUUACUGGUGUAGCAGUGAAAUGCGUAGAGAUCAGGAGGAACACCAGUGGCGAAGGAGACUCCCUGGACUGUAACUGGCGCUGAGGCACGAAAGCGUGGGGGGCAAACAGGAUUAGAUACCCGAGUAGUC